GGAACUACGAGUCCCGGCGAGCACUGCGAAGGCCACGCGCGGCUUUCUUUCUUCUCCAAGCACGGUGGCAGUCUUCUGAUCUCUGCUGCUUUUUUUUCCUCAUAAAAACAUCAGCCAAGUAAUGUGUCCACAGAAAAUAAACUCUUAGCCUAGGCCAGGCAAGAUGGCUCACACUUGUAAUCCCAGCACUUUGGAAGGCCAAGGUGGGAGGAUCACCUGAAGCCAGGAGUUUGAGACCAGCCUGAGCAACGAAGUGAGACCUCCAUCUCUACAAAAAAUAAAACUGAUCAUGGUAAAAUUAGCUGAGCAUGGUAGUACACACCUGUAGUCCCAGCUACAUGAGAGACUGAGACAGGAGGAUCACUUGGGCCCAGGAGGCUGUGGUCAGCUAUCAUCAUGCCACUGCACUCCAGCCUUGGUGACAGAGCAAGACCUUGCCUCUAAAAAAAUAAAACUAUUAGCCUUUCGGUGAGAACAGUUGCUCAGAGAGUUGAGGACAUUGGGAGCAAUAUCAAUAGUUGUGGUGGGCCAAAGAGAAGCCCUCGAAAAUAUAUAUUCAUGUCAAAUUCAUCCACUUCAAAUCCCUGGAAACUGUGAAUGCGACCUUAUUUGGAAAAAGGACCCUUGCAGAUGUAAUUAAGUUAAGGAUCAUGAGAUGAGAUCAUCCUGGAUAACCUCAGUAAGUCCUAAAUCCAAUGACAAGUUUUCUUGUAGGAGACAUAGACAAGAAGAGAAGAUGAUAUGAAAAUGGAGGCAAAGAUUGGAGUGAUGUGGCCACAAGCCAAGGAAACCAGCAACCACCAGAAGCUGAAAGAGGCAAAGAAGAAUUCUGCCUCCCAGCCUCCAGAGGGAGUGUGACCCUGCUAACACCAUGAUUCAGACUUCCGGCCUCCAGAAGAAUGUCUUUUUAAGCCACUACGUUUGUGGUAAUUUGUUAUAGCAGCCCUGGGAAACUAAUACAGUUGUUAAUUAAAAAAACAAGUCAAGU
Long non-coding RNA from Homo sapiens (human), 988 nucleotides. The record is from Ensembl. Lineage: Eukaryota; Metazoa; Chordata; Mammalia; Primates; Hominidae.